Molecule: ribosomal RNA, 253 nt
Filed under: uncultured bacterium
Lineage: Bacteria
Description: partial 16S ribosomal RNA
Rfam family: Bacterial small subunit ribosomal RNA
Source: RNAcentral
UACGGAGGGUGCAAGCGUUAUCCGGAUUCACUGGGUUUAAAGGGUGCGUAGGUGGGCAGGUAAGUCAGUGGUGAAAUCUCCGGGCUUAACCCGGAAACUGCCAUUGAUACUAUCUGUCUUGAAUACCGUGGAGGUGAGCGGAAUAUGUCAUGUAGCGGUGAAAUGCUUAGAUAUGACAUAGAACACCAAUUGCGAAGGCAGCUCACUACACGAAUAUUGACACUGAUGGACGAAAGCGUGGGGAUCAAACAGG